Molecule: ribosomal RNA, 605 nt
Filed under: uncultured bacterium
Lineage: Bacteria
Description: bacterial SSU rRNA
Rfam family: Bacterial small subunit ribosomal RNA
Source: RNAcentral
AGAGUUUGAUCCUGGCUCAGAUUGAACGCUGGCGGCAUGCUUUACACAUGCAAGUCGAACGGUAACAGGUCUUCGGAUGCUGACGAGUGGCGAACGGGUGAGUAAUACAUCGGAACGUGCCUAGUAGUGGGGGAUAACUACUCGAAAGAGUAGCUAAUACCGCAUGAGAUCUACGGAUGAAAGCAGGGGACCUUCGGGCCUUGUGCUACUAGAGCGGCUGAUGGCAGAUUAGGUAGUUGGUGGGGUAAAGGCUUACCAAGCCUGCGACCUGUAGCUGGUCUGAGAGGACGACCAGCCACACUGGGACUGAGACACGGCCCAGACUCCUACGGGAGGCAGCAGUGGGGAAUUUUGGACAAUGGGCGAAAGCCUGAUCCAGCAAUGCCGCGUGCAGGAUGAAGGCCCUCGGGUUGUAAACUGCUUUUGUACGGAACGAAAAGCCUGGGGCUAAUAUCCCCGGGUCAUGACGGUACCGUAAGAAUAAGCACCGGCUAACUACGUGCCAGCAGCCGCGGUAAUACGUAGGGUGCAAGCGUUAAUCGGAAUUACUGGGCGUAAAGCGUGCGCAGGCGGUUUUUGUAAGAAAGUGGUGAAAUCCCCGGGCU